CCUACGGGGGACAGCAGUGGGGAAUAUUGCACAAUGGGGGAAACCCUGAUGCAGCGACGCCGCGUGAGUGAAGAAGUAUUUCGGUACGUAAAGCUCUAUCAGCAGGGAAGAAAAUGACGGUACCUGACUAAGAAGCCCCGGCUAACUACGUGCCAGCAGCCGCGGUAAUACGUAGGGGGCAAGCGUUAUCCGGAUUUACUGGGUGUAAAGGGAGCGUAGACGGCAGCGCAAGUCUGGAGUGAAAUCCCAUGGCUUAACCAUAGAACUGCUUUGGAAACUGUGCAGCUAGAGUGCAGGAGAGGUAGGCGGAAUUCCUAGGGGAGCGGUGAAAUGCGUAGAUAUUAGGAGGAACACCAGUGGCGAAGGCAGCUUACUGGACUGUAACUGACGUUGAGGCUCGAAAGCGUGGGGAGCAAACAGGAUUAGAUACCCCAGUAGUC
Molecule: ribosomal RNA, 440 nt
Filed under: uncultured bacterium
Lineage: Bacteria
Description: partial 16S ribosomal RNA
Rfam family: Bacterial small subunit ribosomal RNA
Source: RNAcentral